RNAcentral lists this ribosomal RNA (430 nucleotides) under Pseudomonadota bacterium. RNAcentral describes it as "Proteobacteria bacterium partial 16S ribosomal RNA". It matches the Rfam family "Bacterial small subunit ribosomal RNA", at positions 355 to 776 of the family's 1533-position model. Lineage: Bacteria; Pseudomonadati; Pseudomonadota. The record is from RNAcentral.
UGGGGAAUAUUGGACAAUGGGGGGAACCCUGAUCCAGCCAUGCCGCGUGUGUGAAGAAGGCCUUAUGGUUGUAAAGCACUUUAAGCGAGGAGGAGGGUACUGGUAUUAACACUACCAGCUACUGGACGUUACUCGCAGAAUAAGCACCGGCUAACUCUGUGCCAGCAGCCGCGGUAAUACAGAGGGUGCGAGCGUUAAUCGGAUUUACUGGGCGUAAAGCGUGCGUAGGCGGCUAAUUGAGUCGGAUGUGAAAUCCCCGAGCUUAACUUGGGAAUUGCAUUCGAUACUGGUUAGCUAGAGUGUGGGAGAGGAUGGUAGAAUUCCAGGUGUAGCGGUGAAAUGCGUAGAGAUCUGGAGGAAUACCGAUGGCGAAGGCAGCCAUCUGGCCUAACACUGACGCUGAGGUACGAAAGCAUGGGGAGCAAACAGG